GCAUAUCAAUAAGCGGAGGAAAAGAAACCAACAGGGAUUGCCUCAGUAACGGCGAAGUGAAGCGGCAACAGCUCAAAUUUGAAAUCUGGCCUCUUUGGGGUCCGAAGUUGUAAUUUGUAGAGGAUGUUUCGGGUACCGCCUCGGUUUAAAUUUCUUGGAACAGAAUGUCAGAGAGGGUGAGAAUCCCGUCUUGGACCGGCGGUAGGGCCCAUGUGAAACUCCUUCGACGAGUCGAGUUGUUUGGGAAUGCAGCUCAAAAUGGGUGGUAAAUUUCAUCUAAAGCUAAAUAUUGGCCAGAGACCGAUAGCGCACAAGUAGAGUGAUCGAAAGAUGAAAAGCACUUUGAAAAGAGAGUUAAACAGUAUGUGAAAUUGUUGAAAGGGAAGCGCUUACAACCAGACUUGCGCGCGGCGGUUCCCCCUUCCUUUUGGUUGGGCUACUCCGUCGUGUCCAGGCCAACAUCGGUUCUGGGGGUCGGUUAAAGACCCUGGGAAUGUAUCUACCCUUCGGGCGUAGACUUAUAGCUCAGGGUGUCAUGCGACCUCCCGGGACCGAGGAACGCGCUUCGGCUCGGAUGUUGGCGUAAUGGUUGUCAGCGACCCGUCUUGAAACACGGACCAAGGAGUCUAACAUCUAUGCGAGUGUUUGGGUGUCAAACCCGGAACGCGAAAUGAAAGUGAACGGAGGUAGGAAGCCUUGAGGCUGCACUAUCGACCGAUCCUGAUGUCUUCGGAUGGAUUUGAGUAAGAGCAUAGCUGUUGGGACCCGAAAGAUGGUGAACUAUGCCUGAAUAGGGUGAAGCCAGAGGAAACUCUGGUGGAGGCUCGCAGCGGUUCUGACGUGCAAAUCGAUCGUCAAAUUUGGGUAUAGGGGGCGAAAGACUAAUCGAACCAUCUGGUAGCUGGUUCUGC
This 911-nucleotide ribosomal RNA is filed under the name Exophiala salmonis. Its description in RNAcentral is "LSU rRNA". It matches the Rfam family "Eukaryotic large subunit ribosomal RNA", at positions 38 to 960 of the family's 3401-position model. The record is from RNAcentral. Lineage: Eukaryota; Fungi; Ascomycota; Eurotiomycetes; Chaetothyriales; Herpotrichiellaceae.